This 1306-nucleotide long non-coding RNA is filed under the name Zonotrichia albicollis (white-throated sparrow). RNAcentral's name for it is "lncRNA (ENSZALG00000017470.1)". The record is from RNAcentral. Lineage: Eukaryota; Metazoa; Chordata; Aves; Passeriformes; Passerellidae.
UCCCUAAGUGACCUCCUGCAGUGGUUCCAGCACGGCCUUGCACUGGAGCACUGAUGUGUGCAUUCCCUGCGGGCCACAGUGACCUUGCUGGGGGGACUGGGCCCACCGAGCGAUCCGGGGAAGCAAUGUAUUGUUUAUGAAAUCCUUCUCCACGGCAGAUCCUUGCAAACACCACGGGGAUCCAGGAGUCACCCAGGCAGUGGGAUCUGGCCUUGCCAGAAACAUGAGGGACAAUGCUCCAGCCAUGCCUGCGUGUGUCACACACGGGCCACACAAACCCACAGUGUUCCUGUGGUUACUUCUGUCUGCAGAGCAUCAGUGGGUCCCAGGGCUUCCCCUUCCCACUGCUUGCUGCUUCACAAAGGCUGAUGCUUCUGGAAAAAGCUCUGCCUUGUGGCCUUUAAAAUAAAUAAAUAAAGCAGCGCUGCUGUGGAUUAGUCAUCCUUAUUUUUGCAGGAAGCUGUUUGCCAGCGCUGUCCCAAUCACGCAUGUGCGUGUGAGAUGGGAACUCCAGCAGGCUGCUAGCGUGCUCUGCUCGCUGCUCCUUGGAGCUCAGCCACCCGGCCUUCCUUGAGCUGCUCCUGGCAGGUGGAAAAACCCACAGUCCAGCUCUCCAGACCUUUCCCUCCUUUUCUUUUUUCAGUGCUGGAAUCUGCAUUGGCAGGUGUGCAAAUGUGGAGACUGUAAAAGCAGCAAGUGAGGAUGGAUGAGCUGUUUUCUGGGGUCAUAUCCAACUCCAGAGAAGAAACCCUGGUGAUUUAUAAUUUUUUUCUUGUCUCUGCCUGGAUGGCCACAGUCCUGUCUAGUGAUGAAAGCCCUGUGUUUGGGGAGAACCCUUGUGAGCUCCUGUCCCUGGCAUCGUGGAUAAGAACACCACAGGGAAGAGAGUCAGAAAAUAAAUUACUAAAUGCUGCAUUUCAAAAACAUGAAGGGAGUUUUCUGCACAAAGUCAUCUCAUCAGGAAGAUUUGGAGCUCUAACCCUCAAAAAGAACUGAAAUCAAGAGGUUUAUUAAUAUAAAUCCUGUGCUUUGUGUUGUUAAGGCUCCAGAAACCAGCUCUGUGCUCCACUGUUUUCAGCCCCUGAGCCCAUAGCCUCUGUCUUGGCAACAAAUGGGCCUAAAUAUCAAACAGCACCAAUUCCUUCUUGGAGAAAACGAGCAUAAAGCAGAAUGGGUAAGCUAUAAAAUUAGGCCAAUAAUUCAGGCUGGCUUAAAAAGGAGAUAAAAGCCUAGCUGGGAAUUUGAUAUUCAGCUGUCAUAGCGUUCUUUUAAUAAAUUCUAUCAAUGAGCAAGGAAGACCUGUAAA